Long non-coding RNA from Pieris brassicae (large cabbage white), 564 nucleotides. RefSeq lists it as uncharacterized. The record is from RefSeq and is a predicted model, not a curated record. Lineage: Eukaryota; Metazoa; Arthropoda; Insecta; Lepidoptera; Pieridae. The transcript is spliced from 3 exons.
UUAAUGGCGUCCAGUCAUCGUUUGUCACCCUUGCAGUAGAAAUCGUUUUACGUACUCCUAUAAACUUACAACGUUUGACUACCAUGGCGUCCCCGAAGCCCAUUGUUUGAAGAGUUAAGUGAAGUGCAAGUGUUGGACUUAAAUUAGCCGCUUGUCACGGCCUCCUCUUCUGCGCCGAUCCUUGACGAACCGGUUGCUGGUCCUAGUGGGCUGACUAGUCCUGGCGAGGAAUUUGCUGCGAUGCCCAGACUUACUAGGUCAUCUGGCAGAAGGCUUAAUCCUUACUCGGAUGAGUUAAAAGGCCCAUUCUCGGACGGAAGAGGGAACCUAUGCAAGGAUAAGGAAGAAUCUUCUUUUGAUGGUAUACCGCAUUUUGAGUAUUUUCCCUACCAUGUUUUGGCAAAGUACAACACAAAAUCGUCAAUAUGACUUACCUAUGUAUCCUCGAACGAAGGCGUACAUAACCAAAAGCGUCGCGUAACAGGUAACGCACGGCCGCCGCCCUAACGACCACUUGUCACUGGAUGAGACAAUGAACUGCUGCAGGUAUCGGGUGAAGAUCCA